AUACUUACUGGUGAGGGAGAUAACAUGAUCACGAAGGUGAUUUUCCCAGAGCAAGGCUUACCCGUUGCACUCCAGAUGUGCUGACCCCUGAAAUUUCCCCAAAUGUGGGAACUCGACUGCAUAAUUUGUGGUAGUGGGGACUGUGCUGGCUCAUUCACCUU
Molecule: small nuclear RNA, 161 nt
Organism: Otolemur garnettii (small-eared galago)
Lineage: Eukaryota; Metazoa; Chordata; Mammalia; Primates; Galagidae
Gene: U1
Rfam family: U1 spliceosomal RNA
About the family: U1 is a small nuclear RNA (snRNA) component of the spliceosome (involved in pre-mRNA splicing).
Source: Ensembl